This 221-nucleotide unclassified non-coding RNA is filed under the name Hevea brasiliensis (rubber tree). Lineage: Eukaryota; Viridiplantae; Streptophyta; Magnoliopsida; Malpighiales; Euphorbiaceae. The record is from RNAcentral.
AAGAAGAAGAAGAAGAAGAGGAAGAAGAAUACUGCGAUGAGGACAAAUAAUAAGGUUUCUUUGUGAUUGAUAGUUUGAGUGCCACUAGUUUUGUGACAAAUUGGCAAUGCAUGGGUGUAAUUUACAACUAAAACUAAUACUUUUUGUUUUUUUGUCAAAACUGAAUCAAGGCUGCAUUUUUUUUUUUCAAAACUGAAUAAGAUUAUGCUUUAGUUUGUCAA